CCUACGGGAGGCAGCAGUGGGGAAUAUUGGACAAUGGGCGCAAGCCUGAUCCAGCCAUGCCGCGUGAGUGAUGAAGGCCUUAGGGUUGUAAAGCUCUUUUGCCAGGGAAGAUAAUGACUGUACCUGGAGAAUAAGCCCCGGCUAACUUCGUGCCAGCAGCCGCGGUAAUACGAAGGGGGCUAGCGUUGUUCGGAAUCACUGGGCGUAAAGCGCACGUAGGCGGACUUUUAAGUCAGGGGUGAAAGCCUGAGGCUCAACCUCAGAACUGCCCUUGAUACUGGGAGUCUUGAGUAUGGUAGAGGUUGGUGGAACAGCAAGUGUAGAGGUGAAAUUCGUAGAUAUUUGCUAGAACACCAGUGGCGAAGGCGGCCAACUGGACCAUAACUGACGCUGAGGUGCGAAAGCGUGGGGAGCAAACAGGAUUAGAUACCCUGGUAGUCCACGCCGUAAACGAUGGAUGCUAGCCGUUAGCCAGCUUGCUGGGUAGUGGCGCAGGUAACCCUUUAAGCAUCCCGCCUGGGGAGUACGGUCGCAAGNUUAAAACUCAAAUGAAUUGACGGNNGAGAGNGCGAGCGACGACGAGGAGAG
This 588-nucleotide ribosomal RNA is filed under the name uncultured bacterium. RNAcentral describes it as "bacterial SSU rRNA". It matches the Rfam family "Bacterial small subunit ribosomal RNA", at positions 338 to 944 of the family's 1533-position model. The record is from RNAcentral.